AUGACCAUGCCAUUGACGAGCUUGCCAUCACCAUCACCGAGCUUCCACUCGAGACGCCUUCCGUCUGAGGCAGUACGGCGGGUUCUGGCUGCUGGAGAAGUUCCUCCAGGGCGUUCCGGCCGUCCACUCCGUCUUCGAGCCGAGGCCAGCUUUCCCAAGUGCGGCACCACCUGGCUCAAGGCCCUCGCCUUCGCCACGCGCAAUCGGGCCGAGCACCCGCCGCGUGGCCUCGACCACCCGCUCCUCCGUCGCAACCCCCAUGACAUCGUCCAGUACCUGGAGCUGCAGUUCGCGCAAUCCAUGGGCCACGUGGUGGCGGUGUUGCUGCUGUCAAGUUUGUUCAGUUGUAUCAUGUAG
This 357-nucleotide ribosomal RNA is filed under the name Triticum aestivum (bread wheat). RNAcentral describes it as "partial small subunit ribosomal RNA". Lineage: Eukaryota; Viridiplantae; Streptophyta; Magnoliopsida; Poales; Poaceae. The record is from RNAcentral.